GAGUUUGAUCCUGGCUCAGAUUGAACGCUGGCGGCAGGCCUAACACAUGCAAGUCGAGCGGAAACGAGUUAACUGAACCUUCGGGGAACGUUAACGGCGUCGAGCGGCGGACGGGUGAGUAAUGCCUGGGAAAUUGCCCUGAUGUGGGGGAUAACCAUUGGAAACGAUGGCUAAUACCGCAUAAUAGCUUCGGCUCAAAGAGGGGGACCUUCGGGCCUCUCGCGUCAGGAUAUGCCCAGGUGGGAUUAGCUAGUUGGUGAGGUAAUGGCCCACCAAGGCGACGAUCCCUAGCUGGUCUGAGAGGAUGAUCAGCCACACUGGAACUGAGACACGGUCCAGACUCCUACGGGAGGCAGCAGUGGGGAAUAUUGCACAAUGGGCGCAAGCCUGAUGCAGCCAUGCCGCGUGUAUGAAGAAGGCCUUCGGGUUGUAAAGUACUUUCAGCAGUGAGGAAGGUGGGUAUGUUAAUAGCAUACUCAUUUGACGUUAGCUGCAGAAGAAGCACCGGCUAACUCCGUGCCAGCAGCCGCGGUAAUACGGAGGGUGCGAGCGUUAAUCGGAAUUACUGGGCGUAAAGCGCAUGCAGGUGGUUUGUUAAGUCAGAUGUGAAAGCCCGGGGCUCAACCUCGGAAUUGCAUUUGAAACUGGCGAACUAGAGUACUGUAGAGGGGGGUAGAAUUUCAGGUGUAGCGGUGAAAUGCGUAGAGAUCUGAAGGAAUACCGGUGGCGAAGGCGGCCCCCUGGACAGAUACUGACACUCAGAUGCGAAAGCGUGGGGAGCAAACAGGAUUAGAUACCCUGGUAGUCCACGCCGUAAACGAUGUCUACUUGGAGGUUGUGGCCUUGAGCCGUGGCUUUCGGAGCUAACGCGUUAAGUAGACCGCCUGGGGAGUACGGUCGCAAGAUUAAAACUCAAAUGAAUUGACGGGGGCCCGCACAAGCGGUGGAGCAUGUGGUUUAAUUCGAUGCAACGCGAAAAACCUUAACCUACUCUUGACAUCUACAGAAACCCAGGCGGUAAAACCCCAGGGGUGGGUGCCUUUGGNAACUUUGUUAAGAAAACACAAGGGUGGNCNUUGNCAAUUGGGG
RNAcentral lists this ribosomal RNA (1089 nucleotides) under uncultured bacterium. RNAcentral's name for it is "bacterial SSU rRNA". It matches the Rfam family "Bacterial small subunit ribosomal RNA", at positions 9 to 1064 of the family's 1533-position model. The record is from RNAcentral.